Molecule: ribosomal RNA, 441 nt
Filed under: uncultured bacterium
Lineage: Bacteria
Description: partial 16S ribosomal RNA
Rfam family: Bacterial small subunit ribosomal RNA
Source: RNAcentral
CCUACGGGAGGCAGCAGUGGGGGAUAUUGCACAAUGGGGGGAACCCUGAUGCAGCGACGCCGCGUGGGUGAAGGAGUGCUUCGGCAUGUAAAGCCCUAUCGGCAGGGAAGAAGCAAGACGGUACCUGACUAAGAAGCCCCGGCUAACUACGUGCCAGCAGCCGCGGUAAUACGUAGGUGGCAAGCGUUGUCCGGAUUUACUGGGUGUAAAGGGCGUGUAGCCGGGUUGACAAGUCAGAUGUGAAAUCCUGCGGCUUAACCGCAGAACUGCAUUUGAAACUGUUGAUCUUGAGUACUGGAGAGGCAGAUGGAAUUCCUAGUGUAGCGGUGAAAUGCGUAGAUAUCACGAAGAACUCCGAUUGCGAAGGCAGCUCACUGGACUGCAACUGACACUGAGGCUCGAAAGUGUGGGUAUCAAACAGGAUUAGAUACCCCUGUAGUC